UUACAAACAGGGACUUGGUUUCAUCGGGAAAAACAAAAACAAAAAACAAAGAAAAAGAACAAACAUACGAACAAUAUAUCAGAAUAACUGACAACUGGACGUAUUUCUGCCGACCGGAACUAUAUGCAUUAAGACAUGAGCCCUGAGACUCAUUAGAAUAUGUGCAUAACAGGGCUCACGUCAUAAUGCACAUAGUUCCGUUUGAUAGAAAUACGUCCAACUGAGAAUUAUUAUUGAUUGCCUAUCAGAUUAUUUUUGUCAAGAGACGCCUGUUAUCAAUGAGUCAUCGGGUACUCUCUGUGCUUGGGAAUGUUUGACUGGCCUCUCAUCAACAGUCAAAGUGCGACAUUCGUCUGAUCCUGUUACGUCUACUAUUUCGAAAAAGGGAGCUUCCAAGGGCAGUUUCAGAUUUUGAGUUGAAACUCUAACAACAGGAACUCGGAAGAUGUCUCAAGACUCAGCAGAAGCAACCUGCUCCAAGAAACUGUUAUCUGAGGUCUUAGAUGCUCUUAAUGAGUGCACUGUACUUAAGGAUUGCGAUACGCAUAAUGCAAAAAUGAUUUCUGAGUACAAAAAUUUCAAGCCUGCAAGGAGCUUGGAAUUGCUAAUCGAACGGUUUUCCUCUGGAGGGGAAUCUCAGUCACCAACAGCUUUCAUUGACGAUAUGAAAACCUUAAUUUCUUGGAGUAACAAUGUCGAAGAAUUUAAAACAUAUAUUGAGAAGUUAAUCCAAUGGUAUAGUAAAAAACCCUUCAUUUAUUGGCUUAGCACAUUAAUAUGGGAGACAAAACGUGAAAAGAGGAAUCGAAAGUACAUAAAACGAUAUUCGACGAUUCUAAAAAAGGUCAGUCCUCUUGAGAAGAGGUAUGACAUUAAAAUAUCAGGCACUGCAACUGAGGUUAUAACCUAUUCGCGGCUGCGAUUUUUAUUUCCUAAUUUAUUAGGCUUAACGUCGAAUGGAACUUACGGUGAAAACGAUUUCAUUCCCCAAAUGUUUGGCGCUCCUGAAUUCGGAGGAUUGAUACCUUCACACUAUUUCAAAGCUAAAGAUGCUAUCAUCACGCUUCACCUUUGCUGCUUGCGGCUUUUGGAUCCGAAAACCACUUUUUACCUUCAUCAUCUAUUCUUAAAGAAGCGAAUUGACGAGGGAUUACUUUCAGACGGGACAAGGUUCAAUUUUCUUUCGGCGCAAGGAAUAAUACAGCCGGAUGGUGAUAUGACCGGAAAAUUUCGGAUUGUCAACGAAACCAGGUGCAGACUCUACGGUAACAUCGAUGCCGAAAUCGCAGAGGUUGAAAAAAUAAAUGGAUUUAGUUUAGCUCAAAACCCUCUGGAAGAGCACGUGUCUGCCUCAGCAACAGCGCCGGACGGGCCCGAAAAACGGCCUAUGAGUACUGGGACUGGGAGUCCUGGCGUGCCAACUUACCAUCAUUCACGGUAUCGAAUAAGGAAGUAACAUUGGACUACAGUGUCUCCUAGACUGCAAAGAAGUAAAUUACGAAGCAAAACACAUGAGCUACUUCCUGGUUGGUCAGCAAAGUUUUGUUUUAAGAGUCAAUGUUAAUCAACGCCCAAUCGCUACGAUUUUCUCAAUCCUCUAUAAAAUUAUUCAAUUUUCCAUUUGUUUGCAUUUCGAAGAGGAACCCCGACUGCCACUUGGUUUCUUUGUAUUUAUUCGGUUCAACUACUUUUCCAAUGAGUAGGCAUGUACCAUAUUCCUAUUAUGAUUUUUGAUUGAACAAAUUUUGAUUGUUCUACCAAUAUUGACCUACUCGGUAAAAUAAAACCCAACAUCUUAUAGCUUUAAUAAAAUGAAUUCGGUUAGAACACCAAUCGUUUUAAUUGACCCUUCUCUCGGUCUCUUUUCCCCUAUUCUAGAAGAAGGGGGUGAAGGAUUUUCUACAUUCUCUUACUCUUUACACCCCUCAAAGAAGGGGGAAAUCCGGAGGUCUCCCCUGGAAAACUUUAUAAAAGGAGAGAUCCAAUCCACAAUGAGCUUUAAACUUAAUAUUAAGACGCAUUUCAAUCAAAAGGAA
Molecule: long non-coding RNA, 2036 nt
Filed under: Bemisia tabaci
Lineage: Eukaryota; Metazoa; Arthropoda; Insecta; Hemiptera; Aleyrodidae
Description: lncRNA ENSSSA2NGG006253
Source: RNAcentral